This 252-nucleotide ribosomal RNA is filed under the name uncultured Lactobacillus sp. RNAcentral describes it as "partial 16S ribosomal RNA". It matches the Rfam family "Bacterial small subunit ribosomal RNA", at positions 111 to 354 of the family's 1533-position model. The record is from RNAcentral. Lineage: Bacteria; Bacillati; Bacillota; Bacilli; Lactobacillales; Lactobacillaceae.
UAACACGUGGGGAACCUGCCCCAUAGUAUGGGAUACCACUUGGAAACAGGUGCUAAUACCGGAUAAGAAAGCGGAUCGCAUGAUCAGCUUUUAAAAGGCGGCGUAAGCUGUCGCUAUGGGAUGGCCCCGCGGUGCAUUAGCUAGUUGGUAAGGUAAAGGCUUACCAAGGCGAUGAUGCAUAGCCGAGUUGAGAGACUGAUCGGCCACAUUGGGACUGAGACACGGCCCAAACUCCUACGGGAGGCAGCAGGU